Molecule: transfer RNA, 76 nt
Filed under: Acididesulfobacillus acetoxydans
Lineage: Bacteria; Bacillati; Bacillota; Clostridia; Eubacteriales; Peptococcaceae
Description: His
Rfam family: tRNA
About the family: Transfer RNA (tRNA) molecules are approximately 80 nucleotides in length. Their secondary structure includes four short double-helical elements and three loops (D, anti-codon, and T loops). Further hydrogen bonds mediate the characteristic L-shaped molecular structure. tRNAs have two regions of fundamental functional importance: the anti-codon, which is responsible for specific mRNA codon recognition, and the 3' end, to which the tRNAs corresponding amino acid is attached (by aminoacyl-tRNA synthetases). tRNAs cope with the degeneracy of the genetic code in two manners: having more than one tRNA (with a specific anti-codon) for a particular amino acid; and 'wobble' base-pairing, i.e. permitting non-standard base-pairing at the 3rd anti-codon position.
Source: RNAcentral
GUGGAUGUGGUGAAGUGGUUAACACACCGGAUUGUGGCUCCGGCAUUCGAGGGUUCGACCCCCUUCAUCCACCCCA